Molecule: long non-coding RNA, 4662 nt
Organism: Gopherus evgoodei (Goodes thornscrub tortoise)
Lineage: Eukaryota; Metazoa; Chordata; Testudines; Testudinidae
Exons: 3
Source: RefSeq, a predicted model, not a curated record
GACUGUGUCAGCCUUAAAUAGAUUCCUAAGUCUUUCCUCCAUGCUUUACUGUCCUUUUCCAGGUGGUUGCAGUGAACACCUGCACAGGGAUGUGACUCCUCUGUGUGUGUCUGUCUCCAUGGAGAUGGUCUCCCCCUACUCUGAAGAGCCUGUUUGUUUUGGCAGUCAGUAGGCUUGCUGGUUUACCCUGUGCCCACAAGCAGAGUGGGCAGUUGUUUAAAAAUCCACUAGGGCUCGACACUCCAACGAUUGCCAGGAAGCCUGGGAAGAACUGUGCAAAAUCAAUUCCUUUUCCUAGACAAUAGCAACUAAAAGGCUGCCCCUCCCAAAGAAGCCUGCUGUGACAAAACACAAUUCCACUAACCCUAACCUCUCCAUUUUACUGCGUAUGGAGGCUAGCAGCCGAACAGCUCUGCCAGUGUGUGUGUCGGGAGGCACUCAGUUCUGUCUCCUCAACUGCCUGCUAGACAAUCAGCUCAUGUUACAUAGGCCACCAACUAAAAUACAGGCAUGAGCAUGUUCACUAGAGGGUGCUCUGAUCCCAGAGUUGGGCAAGAGGGAGCAUUCAUACCCAUGUCACAAAGGACCUGGCAUCUACUAAUCUCUCAAUGAAGUCAUUGCUCCACCUCAAGUGCCACACAUGGCAGGGUUGUCCUGUGUUGGAUUCAAUGGCAUUGCAGUUUUCCACUGGGCAGUACUAUGCUCCUACUUGCAGUGUUCAAACAUGAACCAAGACAAUAUCACAUUGUCUGUUGCAUCACAAUAGCGCGGUUGUUAGCUACCUAGAGCCCUGGCGCUGCAGGAUGCUUCACAGGCUGACAAUGCUGUGCCGCCAGGUUUCUCUGAAAAACAACCACCCUACAUCAAAUGUUCCUUUUCUCUCUGCACCUCUCCCUCACUACUGCGUAAGCCUCUAGCUUUUCUGUUUUUUUCUAGUUCUAGAUAGAUUUUGACAGAAUCUAUUGACACAGUCAAAGGCUCCUAAUUCCUCUUGUCUGUUCUGCUAGACCAGGCUUUCUCGAUUUUCUCUAUGUAUACAGCACCCAUCACUAAUGUCUCACUGCUUUCAGUUCUACCUCUCUUGUUGAGAAAUAGCAUGACAACAGGGCAUAUUUAUGUAGGUCCUACAUAAAACAAGGUUCUUGCUGGUUGAUGAAUUGUAGCUGUUAAACCAAACAGCCCUCCCUCCUGUGCCAAGGGGAUUGUGUUAGAAAAUGGGGCUUUGAUCAUGGAUACAGCCUUAUCGAGUUUUUUGAGGGGGAGGGUGAGUUCAAGUUGUGCCAUAGGAACCCAAACCCCUGGCGCACCCCCCCCCCGGCAGGUCUAGUUAGGUCCAAACCAUAAAGUUACUUUUCUGGAGCUGUUUAGGGUGUGCCAGAGGGCACAGGUCUUUCCCAUCUCUAUGUUCUGGAGGAGGCUUAGCCAUAAGUCCGUAUUUACGGGGUGCUGUGAGUAGGAGCAGUGCUCCCCUUUGGAGGAACAGCCACUGACUUGGGCUUGCAGGCUCAGACUGCAGGGCAAAAAUGAGCAGUGUAGACGUUCCCACUUAUGCUGGAUCCUGGGCUCUGAGACCCUCCCUCCAUGCUGGGCUUCAGCCCAAGCAGGGACAUCUACACAGCUAUUCAGAGCUUUGCAACCCUGAGUCCAGUGCCAUGGGUCCCUCUUGUAAAUUAACAUGCACAGUGUGUCCCAGCAGCAGCUCAAGCAGACUAGAGAGAGGAACCUCCAGUUCCUAAUGCUUGGGAGGUGAAACUGCUGCUGGUUCUAGUUUCGUUCAGAAAACGAUGGCAUCUGCCCCAGUGUCAGCUGUGCCCUCCCUCCCAGUCUCUGAAAUGAUCACUACUAUUCCACAGAUGAGAACUAAAAUAGAAAUUCCACUGAGUAACUUGAAACCCUGCAAAGAUAAAUGAGGCAUGGCGAGAGAGAGAAAGAACGCCGGCGGGAUGAAUGGGCUGGCCGGGGGUGGCAGAGCAGCCCAUUACCGUUCACAUGCCUUUGAGCACGAGCUCAUGCCCAUUCGGCACGCAAACAGGGUCAGAAAAAGGGAUGCUCUCGCCAGCCCUAGGCCCCAUUACAGGCUGGGAGGAAAACUACUUGCAAGCCUCUGCCUUAAUGGCCCCAACAGCGACGCUGCAGUUCAGUGGUCACAGCAGUGAGUUGGAUUCCUGGCUCAGCACUGACUCAUUACGUUGCCUUGGGCAGAUCAGAUUACCCAUCUGCAAAGUGGGGAAAUACCUCCUGCAUGUGUGUGAAGUGCUUUGAGACGGAGGGUGCUAUGGAAGGGCCAAGUAACCCUACCAAGUGUGGCCGUGAAUGACUCAGAGCUGCUGCUACCCCUCCACCCCUGCCCCAACAAAGGGAGUGACUGUCAGUAAGAACCCAGGGACAGUCCCAGAUUUCUUUGCAACUCUCUGUGCUUGGCGAGCUCCUAGAGGUGCCUCUUUUGUGAGGCAGGAAGGGAAUAAAUCACCCCUCCAAGCAACCUCAGGAAAGGGGCAAAAGAAAAAGGCAUGUGAGCACUAGACAACUGAGGAAUCUUUGCACAGACAUGGAACAGACCCAUGUAUUAAUGGCCUCUGGAGAAGGGAAAGAGAUCUGCUAGGUCCUGCAGUCCCAGCUGCCAGCCAAAGCAAGGGAAAAGAGCAAGCUUGGGAGCAUGCAACUGCCUGCCCAGCCAGCAACGUCACUAGAUUGUGCAGCAAGAACCAACAGCUUAGUCUUGGCUUUCAACCUGGUUGCUCCUUUAUAGCUGGGCCCUCCCGGAGCUCUGCUACCAUGGGCUUACGCUCAGGGGGAUGCAGAGCAGGACUGACACCUCACUCCCCUCCAAAGGUGAAUGGAAAAACCCUCUUUCCUCUUCCCCACUCACCUCCCAAGAAGUGUCAAACCCAGCAGAGGCGGAGCUGGGUUGGCUCUAGCUUCAUGGGCAAGAGCAAUUGGCAAACAAACAAAAACAAAAAAAUUCUCAUGGAAAGGGUUCUAGCAGAGGGUCUUGCAAGCAAGUCCAUGUCAGAGUCACAGACAGACAGAUGCAGCAAAGGGACAGGCCGUGGCGGCUGGGGCACACAAGUGCCAGCACAGGAGCAACUUGGGUUUGUGUUGGGCACCUCGAAGUUUCAAAAUUGUUUCACACCAGGAUCACGUGUUCUUGAGGUCGGGGAGGAGAAGGCACAGGAACUGUUUGGUUUCGUAUAAGCUCUUUCAUUCCUCAGAGCGCCUCACAGAGCACAGGCACCCAACACAACGCAAUGCAACCACCUUAAGAGCAGAGGGCAGCAGCCAACUGGCACACAGCCCAACAGGAGUAAGGGAAACAUAGGCCAAAGACACCAGGGCAAGGCCUCACCCUUAGGAAACUGCGAGAGGAUCGUUCAUGUAUACGUAAAGCAGACACCACACUCUGGGUUUCAAGGCCUCAACCAAAAGAUCCACUGCAGAGAACUGUCUGGGCUGUUAAUCUACCUCAGAAGGGCCACGUCAACCCUGCUGUGGCUCUGGGGAGCCUCGUCAUUUGACGCUUGGAGCAUGGAGCCCUCUCCUCCAGCAUGACUGAGACAGAACAGCAUCGCUGGUCUCUAGCAGAGGGACCUUAGGGUGAAUCAGUCUGAGGGCAAGUUGCUUUCCGGUUUGCAGAGGCCCAAGUUCAGAGGUCUGAACUGAUGUUAUUUACACCUUCUCCAGUCCCCUUAACAUGCCUCUUACUCUGCCUCUAGAAUUGCUUAUUUGGACUGUUACUACUACCUUACACAUCAGCUCCGUCUCUGGCCCACUGAGUCUACCGUAGCAACUAGUCCAGGGGCACAGUGCUUCUCUGGGACGCCAAAAAUCACAAGUUCAAAUCCCAGGAAGCACCUACAAUGAUGAACCUGUGCGGAUGCAUGUCAGUUUCCCCCACGCUCUAUGACCUCUAGGAUGUCAGUUUAACCGAUGAUAACGGUCCCUUCUGGCUUUAAAAUCGAUGUCAUAGAGAAAACUGGCAGCAAACGCAACCAACAGGAGAGAGUGGGAAGGUGUACCUUAUGGCAGGCCUUCCCCACAUUUAACUCACACCAAUUUCACUUUCCCAAAGCAUUGGUAAGUGGGCGUAGCUAGGUCUAGGGGAGUGUGAACAUGGCAGUCUAAGAUACUCAUCACCCCAACUGAUGCCUGGUGUGCGUUUAAUCAGCCACACUUGUCUCCCCUAUCCCGAGUCACACCUUGUGAACUUGUACGCCUGCUCAGAAAGGAAAAGUUUGUUCUGCCCCAUCGGGCUGGCCAGCUCCAUGGGGAGAAGCCUCUGCAGAGAGGAAACCUAGGAUGCUUCUCACCUUCCUCAUUCCCUCUCUCCACAAGAGGAGGGCCUGCAAGUUUGGGCAAAGAUUUACGGCCCUUCCUCAUAGAGGAGGUCGGGGAGAAAGGACCUUGUCCACAGGGGCUCACAUGAACACGUCCCUGAAUCAAACUAUAUCACAUUCUUUUGGCCACUGAUCACAUGAAUCCCCAGGGGAAAGGGAGGGAUUUGAGUUAUGACAUUCCAACCCCCCCCAAACUAAUCUAUAUUACAGCCUGCCCUGCACCAUGUCCCAACACGGGCCAAAACUGAGAUUCCCAUUCUCUAUCACUUGUGCCAACAGAGAGAUUGGGCAGCGGAAAACACAAAACCCUUCAGGAUUAUGAUACAUG